RNAcentral lists this ribosomal RNA (1343 nucleotides) under uncultured bacterium. RNAcentral's name for it is "16S ribosomal RNA". It matches the Rfam family "Bacterial small subunit ribosomal RNA", at positions 28 to 1378 of the family's 1533-position model. The record is from RNAcentral.
GACGAACGCUGGCGGCGUGCUUAACACAUGCAAGUCGAACGGAAAGGCCCUGCUUUUGUGGGGUGCUCGAGUGGCGAACGGGUGAGUAACACGUGAGUAACCUGCCCUUGACUUUGGGAUAACCUCAGGAAACUGGGGCUAAUACCGGAUAGGAGCUCCUGCUGCAUGGUGGGGGUUGGAAAGUUUCGGCGGUUGGGGAUGGACUCGCGGCUUAUCAGCUUGUUGGUGGGGUAGUGGCUUACCAAGGCUUUGACGGGUAGCCGGCCUGAGAGGGUGACCGGCCACAUUGGGACUGAGAUACGGCCCAGACUCCUACGGGAGGCAGCAGUGGGGAAUAUUGCACAAUGGGCGGAAGCCUGAUGCAGCAACGCCGCGUGCGGGAUGACGGCCUUCGGGUUGUAAACCGCUUUCGCCUGUGACGAAGCGUGAGUGACGGUAAUGGGUAAAGAAGCACCGGCUAACUACGUGCCAGCAGCCGCGGUGAUACAUAGGGUGCGAGCGUUGUCCGGAUUUAUUGGGCGUAAAGGGCUCGUAGGUGGUUGAUCGCGUCGGAAGUGUAAUCUUGGGGCUUAACCCUGAGCGUGCUUUCGAUACGGGUUGACUUGAGGAAGGUAGGGGAGAAUGGAAUUCCUGGUGGAGCGGUGGAAUGCGCAGAUAUCAGGAGGAACACCAGUGGCGAAGGCGGUUCUCUGGGCCUUUCCUGACGCUGAGGAGCGAAAGCGUGGGGAGCGAACAGGCUUAGAUACCCUGGUAGUCCACGCUGUAAACGGUGGGUACUAGGUGUGGGGUCCAUUCCACGGGUUCCGUGCCGUAGCUAACGCUUUAAGUACCCCGCCUGGGGAGUACGGCCGCAAGGCUAAAACUCAAAGGAAUUGACGGGGCCCCGCACAAGCGGCGGAGCAUGCGGAUUAAUUCGAUGCAACGCGUAGAACCUUACCUGGGUUUGACAUGGAUCGGGAGUGCUCAGAGAUGGGUGUGCCUCUUUUGGGGUCGGUUCACAGGUGGUGCAUGGCUGUCGUCAGCUCGUGUCGUGAGAUGUUGGGUUAAGUCCCGCAACGAGCGCAACCCUUGUUCACUGUUGCCAGCACGUUAUGGUGGGGACUCAGUGGAGACCGCCGGGGUCAACUCGGAGGAAGGUGGGGAUGACGUCAAGUCAUCAUGCCCCUUAUGUCCAGGGCUUCACGCAUGCUACAAUGGCUGGUACAGAGAGUGGCGAGCCUGUGAGGGUGAGCGAAUCUCGGAAAGCCGGUCUCAGUUCGGAUUGGGGUCUGCAACUCGACCUCAUGAAGUCGGAGUCGCUAGUAAUCGCAGAUCAGCAACGCUGCGGUGAAUACGUUCCCGGG